AACGAACGCUGGCGGCAGGCUUAACACAUGCAAGUCGAACGAGAAGCUUCUUCGGAAGUGGACAGUGGCAGACGGGUGAGUAACGCGUGGGAAUUUGCCCAGAGGUUCGGGACAACCAUUGGAAACGAUGGCUAAUACCGGAUAAGCCCGAAAGGGGAAAGAUUUAUUGCCUUUGGAUGAGCCCGCGUAAGAUUAGCUAGUUGGUAAGGUAAGAGCUUACCAAGGCUACGAUCUUUAGCUGGUCUGAGAGGAUGAUCAGCCACAUUGGGACUGAGACACGGCCCAGACUCCUACGGGAGGCAGCAGUGGGGAAUAUUGCGCAAUGGGGGAAACCCUGACGCAGCCAUGCCGCGUGAGUGACGAAGGCCUUAGGGUUGUAAAGCUCUUUCGCUAGGGAAGAUAAUGACGGUACCUAGUAAAGAAGCCCCGGCUAACUCCGUG
RNAcentral lists this ribosomal RNA (441 nucleotides) under uncultured bacterium. Its description in RNAcentral is "bacterial SSU rRNA". It matches the Rfam family "Bacterial small subunit ribosomal RNA", at positions 29 to 507 of the family's 1533-position model. The record is from RNAcentral.